Molecule: ribosomal RNA, 2087 nt
Filed under: Escherichia coli O5
Lineage: Bacteria; Pseudomonadati; Pseudomonadota; Gammaproteobacteria; Enterobacterales; Enterobacteriaceae
Description: partial 23S ribosomal RNA
Rfam family: Bacterial large subunit ribosomal RNA
Source: RNAcentral
AUCUAGCCAUGGGCAGGUUGAAGGUUGGGUAACACUAACUGGAGGACCGAACCGACUAAUGUUGAAAAAUUAGCGGAUGACUUGUGGCUGGGGGUGAAAGGCCAAUCAAACCGGGAGAUAGCUGGUUCUCCCCGAAAGCUAUUUAGGUAGCGCCUCGUGAAUUCAUCUCCGGGGGUAGAGCACUGUUUCGGCAAGGGGGUCAUCCCGACUUACCAACCCGAUGCAAACUGCGAAUACCGGAGAAUGUUAUCACGGGAGACACACGGCGGGUGCUAACGUCCGUCGUGAAGAGGGAAACAACCCAGACCGCCAGCUAAGGUCCCAAAGUCAUGGUUAAGUGGGAAACGAUGUGGGAAGGCCCAGACAGCCAGGAUGUUGGCUUAGAAGCAGCCAUCAUUUAAAGAAAGCGUAAUAGCUCACUGGUCGAGUCGGCCUGCGCGGAAGAUGUAACGGGGCUAAACCAUGCACCGAAGCUGCGGCAGCGACGCUGAUGCGUUGUUGGGUAGGGGAGCGUUCUGUAAGCCUGUGAAGGUGUGCUGUGAGGCAUGCUGGAGGUAUCAGAAGUGCGAAUGCUGACAUAAGUAACGAUAAAGCGGGUGAAAAGCCCGCUCGCCGGAAGACCAAGGGUUCCUGUCCAACGUUAAUCGGGGCAGGGUGAGUCGACCCCUAAGGCGAGGCCGAAAGGCGUAGUCGAUGGGAAACAGGUUAAUAUUCCUGUACUUGGUGUUACUGCGAAGGGGGGACGGAGAAGGCUAUGUUGGCCGGGCGACGGUUGUCCCGGUUUAAGCGUGUAGGCUGGUUUUCCAGGCAAAUCCGGAAAAUCAAGGCUGAGGCGUGAUGACGAGGCACUACGGUGCUGAAGCAACAAAUGCCCUGCUUCCAGGAAAAGCCUCUAAGCAUCAGGUAACAUCAAAUCGUACCCCAAACCGACACAGGUGGUCAGGUAGAGAAUACCAAGGCGCUUGAGAGAACUCGGGUGAAGGAACUAGGCAAAAUGGUGCCGUAACUUCGGGAGAAGGCACGCUGAUAUGUAGGUGAAGUCCCUCGCGGAUGGAGCUGAAAUCAGUCGAAGAUACCAGCUGGCUGCAACUGUUUAUUAAAAACACAGCACUGUGCAAACACGAAAGUGGACGUAUACGGUGUGACGCCUGCCCGGUGCCGGAAGGUUAAUUGAUGGGGUCAGCGCAAGCGAAGCUCUUGAUCGAAGCCCCGGUAAACGGCGGCCGUAACUAUAACGGUCCUAAGGUAGCGAAAUUCCUUGUCGGGUAAGUUCCGACCUGCACGAAUGGCGUAAUGAUGGCCAGGCUGUCUCCACCCGAGACUCAGUGAAAUUGAACUCGCUGUGAAGAUGCAGUGUACCCGCGGCAAGACGGAAAGACCCCGUGAACCUUUACUAUAGCUUGACACUGAACAUUGAGCCUUGAUGUGUAGGAUAGGUGGGAGGCUUUGAAGUGUGGACGCCAGUCUGCAUGGAGCCGACCUUGAAAUACCACCCUUUAAUGUUUGAUGUUCUAACGUUGACCCGUGAUCCGGGUUGCGGACAGUGUCUGGUGGGUAGUUUGACUGGGGCGGUCUCCUCCUAAAGAGUAACGGAGGAGCACGAAGGUUGGCUAAUCCUGGUCGGACAUCAGGAGGUUAGUGCAAUGGCAUAAGCCAGCUUGACUGCGAGCGUGACGGCGCGAGCAGGUGCGAAAGCAGGUCAUAGUGAUCCGGUGGUUCUGAAUGGAAGGGCCAUCGCUCAACGGAUAAAAGGUACUCCGGGGAUAACAGGCUGAUACCGCCCAAGAGUUCAUAUCGACGGCGGUGUUUGGCACCUCGAUGUCGGCUCAUCACAUCCUGGGGCUGAAGUAGGUCCCAAGGGUAUGGCUGUUCGCCAUUUAAAGUGGUACGCGAGCUGGGUUUAGAACGUCGUGAGACAGUUCGGUCCCUAUCUGCCGUGGGCGCUGGAGAACUGAGGGGGGCUGCUCCUAGUACGAGAGGACCGGAGUGGACGCAUCACUGGUGUUCGGGUUGUCAUGCCAAUGGCACUGCCCGGUAGCUAAAUGCGGAAGAGAUAAGUGCUGAAAGCAUCUAAGCACGAAACUUGC